AGAGACAGGUGAGUCAUCGAAUCUUUGAACGCACAUCGCGCCCAUUAGUAUUCUAGUGGGCAUGCCUGUUCGAGCGUCAUUUCAACCCUCAAGCUCUAUCUGCUUGGUGUUGGGGUUUUUUCUACAGCAUCUGUAGACCCCAAAAAUCAGUGGCGGACUUGCUGAAGCUCCGAGCGUAGUAAUAUUUCUCGCUUAGGGUGCUACGGUAAGCUUUCUAGCCGUUAAACCCCCAUUUUUAUAAGGUUGACCUCGGAUCAGGUAGGAAUACCCGCUGAACUUAAGCAUAUCAAUAAGCGGAGG
This 300-nucleotide unclassified non-coding RNA is filed under the name uncultured Sordariomycetes. RNAcentral's name for it is "sequence contains 5.8S rRNA gene, ITS2". The stretch from base 1 to 79 matches the Rfam family "5.8S ribosomal RNA", at positions 76 to 154 of the family's 154-position model. Lineage: Eukaryota; Fungi; Ascomycota; Sordariomycetes. The record is from RNAcentral.